Oryza nivara is the source of this 202-nucleotide non-coding RNA. The record is from Rfam. NCBI's taxonomy places the organism in Eukaryota, Viridiplantae, Streptophyta, Magnoliopsida, Poales, Poaceae.
UCUCCGUCAAAAAAAAAGUCAAACCAAACGUAUAACUGUUCGUCUUAUAUAAAAUUUUUUUAUAAUUAGUAUUUUUAUUGUUGUUAGAUGAUAAAACAUGAUUAAUAUUUUAUACGUGACUUAUCUUUUUAAUUUUUUAAUAUUAUUUUUAAAUAAGACGGACGGUCAAACAUUAGACACGGAAAUCAGGGUUUGUCUUUUU